GCCUAGGACCAUUCCACGUUGAAAAUACCGCAUCCCGUCAGAUUUGCGAAGUUAAGCAACGUUGAGCAGGGUGAGUGCAAUGGUUAGAGAUUACAUGGGAAAUCUCGGUUUCGUAUGCU
RNAcentral lists this ribosomal RNA (119 nucleotides) under Trichuris muris. The record is from RNAcentral. Lineage: Eukaryota; Metazoa; Nematoda; Enoplea; Trichinellida; Trichuridae.